GGCUCGGCCACGUGGUGCGACACGGCGCCAUGUUCAGCAUCCUCGGCACUGUCAAAGGUGAAGCCCCGCAAGUAGUUGCCACUUCAGGCGGAAGAGGCUCCACGAAGCGUGAGCUCAAGGGCCCCUUCUCGAGGGCAUUUGGCCUACUCUUCCACACUGGCCAGGCGUCUUGUGCAAGAUGACUGUGGAGGGUGUCUCGUGACGCGCGCGUUGUCUCCGCGUGAUGCACUGGAGCGCCAUAGGAGCUCGCCGCCGGGGAGAAAGAGACGAUGGUUCCCCGGCACUCGGGGCGGAAAGGGGAGGAGGGCGUCGCGCCGAGCCACGCACGGCCCGGACAUGCACCGGAGAGCCGCCAGCCGCGGAAACGUACACGGAGUGACGCUUCUCUGGAUCUGUUUCAGCAAACUGAGCCACCUGGCCAUCACAGAUGGCAGCCCAACCGAGUGGCUUCUCUUCGUGUGGAAAUCUACGGCGUCCCGAAGACUCUGACACGCGUGACGUCCGAUCGUGAAAGAAGGGGCCGACUCGGUGCUGGGAGACGCAGCGAUUGGCCGAGCGAUGGACCCCGGCGGAGAGCACCGAUCCUGGCACGGGGAGCUCUCCCACCUGCGGUGGUGGCGGCAGUGCCCGGCCUCAAGAAGCGAAGUAACAGCAUGGGCUCCCAGCUUCAUACACUACUAUGAGGGUGAACCAUUUAUCAACACGAGCUCACAGCCUUUUACAUUCAUAUAAAAAAGCACGUAAUUCUAAUUGCGGCGUUGACGUCAUUGAAAUUGGUGCCUCCGCUUAUUGUUUCACGCAACUGAUGUGACGUGGCGUGUCCGGUGUGCGACGUUCGUGGCCACGUGGCCACACGCAGGAAUGAUUUCUGCUCCGGGCCCCCUUGAGCUCGCGGCCGCUCUGCCACCGCCGCGUGCCAAGCCCGGUGACGAGCCACGGCAGUGAUUGUUGUUAAUGCCGUCAUAAAACUCAUUAAUGUUACGAUUUGUGUAUGUAAUUAUGCACUGUUGUGGGCCAUUACGGGUUGUUAGACAAACAACCGCACACUUUUGUUAUACACUAAUAGCUCACGGGUCGCUGUGCGUGGAUGUCAACCGGCAGCGUCCGAUUCGGCAGGCGAAACCUGGAGCCACUUCACCCUGCUGGGUCUCAUCAGCUGAGCCGAACUUGAUAGACAAAUGCACGCCUGGGUUGCCAGAUAUGAUUGGCAGUAGUCCUUCAGACAUUGCUGUUUACAGAUCAAUCAGACACGAGGACUCUUUAUCCAAGCGCCAUGCAAAGUCAAUAACAGAAGCGCCUCUACGUGUGAUCGUGGUGUAAGGUUUAUUAACGCUUGUCCGGUUCGGUGGUGAUGUGCCAAGACUGACUC
Molecule: long non-coding RNA, 1369 nt
Organism: Lethenteron reissneri (Far Eastern brook lamprey)
Lineage: Eukaryota; Metazoa; Chordata; Hyperoartia; Petromyzontiformes; Petromyzontidae
Source: RefSeq, a predicted model, not a curated record